This 443-nucleotide ribosomal RNA is filed under the name uncultured bacterium. RNAcentral describes it as "partial 16S ribosomal RNA". It matches the Rfam family "Bacterial small subunit ribosomal RNA", at positions 355 to 784 of the family's 1533-position model. The record is from RNAcentral.
UGGGGAAUUUUGGACAAUGGGCGAAAGCCUGAUCCAGCAAUGCCGCGUGCGUGAAGAAGGCCUUCGGGUUGUAAAGCACUUUUUGUCCGGAAAGAAAUCCUUGGCUCUAAUACAGUCGGGGGAUGACGGUACCGGAAGAAUAAGCACCGGCUAACUACGUGCCAGCAGCCGCGGUAAUACGUAGGGUGCAAGCGUUAAUCGGAAUUACUGGGCGUAAAGCGUGCGCAGGCGGUUUGCUAAGACCGAUGUGAAAUCCCCGGGCUCAACCUGGGAACUGCAUUGGUGACUGGCAGGCUAGAGUAUGGCAGAGGGGGGUAGAAUUCCACGUGUGAGCAGUGAAAUGCGUAGAGAUGUGGAGGAAUACCGAUGGCGAAGGCAGCCCCCUGGGCCAAAUACUGACGCUCAUGCACGAAAAGCGUGGGGGAGCAAAACAGGAUUAGAUA